UACGUAGGUAGCAAGCGUUGUCCGGAUUUACUGGGCGUAAAGAGCGCGCAGGCGGUCGUUCAAGUCGAGUGUGAAAGCCCCCGGCUCAACUGGGGAGGGUCACUCGAUACUGAUCGACUCGAAGGCAGAAGAGGGAAGCGGAAUUCCCGGUGUAGUGGUGAAAUGCGUAGAUAUCGGGAGGAACACCAGUGGCGAAGGCGGCUUUCUGGUCUGCUCUUGACGCUGAGGCGCGAAAGCUAGGGUAGCAAACGGG
RNAcentral lists this ribosomal RNA (253 nucleotides) under uncultured bacterium. Its description in RNAcentral is "partial 16S ribosomal RNA". It matches the Rfam family "Bacterial small subunit ribosomal RNA", at positions 524 to 776 of the family's 1533-position model. The record is from RNAcentral.